GGGAACUUGCCACUAUCAGCCACCCUGGAUAUUAGCAGCUGCCUACAAAGAAGAACUAGGAGGCCAAGCUUGUGGGGAGAGGGCUAAGUGAUUCCCUCAGAAAAUUAAAGCCUAUUCACGGAAAGCGUGCCCGGAGAUGACGGCUGAGGGAUCCCACCCGGAAAAGGGCUCCACGCAGGGCCCAUCGGAAGCCCAGCAGUGAAGCCUUCUCAGCGGUGUCAUGAAGGCUGGACCAUUGGCAGCCUCUGUACUCUGACGGGAACCUUGUGCCUCAGAAGACAACACAUGCUGCAGAAGAGCCCAGUGGCCUGAGAUGAGGGAAGACAUCUGCUCGGUCUUUCUCCAUCUGGCCUACAAAGUUAUUUCCUUCUCCAGAGCUAAGCCCGGUAGAGGCCAUGAUAACACUUCCAUGAUAACAAACGAAUUUAACACUUUCCUUGGGGGCUUUAGCCAUUAUCUAUCUUAAAAGAUGGUAGUUGUUGAAGGCAGACUUUUAAGGCAGCCUUCAGUGACCCUCUCUGGUAUCAUCUUUCCUGGAGUGUGGAACUUGUGAAUAUGAUAAGAUAUUACCCAAAAUACUGAUGUGGUAUUGUAUGAUAAAGCAGAUUUUACAGCUGUAACGAAGGUCCCAAAUCAGCAGACCAUAAGACAGGGAGAUCGCUGGGGUGGGCCUGACCUAAUCACUUGAGUUCUUGCAUUACUUCUGUUUAUUAGACGAUCCCUUGCACUGAAAAUGAUCUAGAAGAAAGGAAAAUAUGAGGCAAACCGUAGUUCGUUUUCCUUUUAGGACAUCCUUACUCAUCUGUAAGCCAAAUGUGGGGAAAAUGCAUGCAUGUCAAGAAGUGAGAUAAAAACAGUUGAGUUAGUUUUGAGCAGUCUUCCCACUGUUGUGGUGAGAAUGACAUAUAUAUGCGUGUAUGAGCUCCAAAAUAUAGCUGUGUAACACUGGGUGAUUUUACAUAAGAGUUAGGUGCUCUCAUAUUUGCAUUUAAAAUGGAUAUUGUACAAUAUAAAAAUGAACAGUAAAGUGAAUACUAAUAAUUUCCAGUUUAAAUUUUUCCCUAUUUAAAAUGACAUGAAAUACCAAUAAAAAGAAACCCCAUGAUGGUUGAGAGAGACCAUAAAAAAAAAAAAAAAGAAAAUUUAUGUUUUAGUACUUUUAACAGCAUUCUUUUCCUGCCAGGGGACGACUCUGCAUUUGCAUUUUCUAUUUGGUUCUGCAAAUUACAUAGCCAUGGAGUCAGAUUUCUCAUUGUAAAAGGUUACAACUAUGAAAAGACCCCAAACCAGAAUGAACUCCAUGGAAUGGGAUUAGGAUUCGUGUGAACUCAUGGUUUUCUAAAUAGGCUGGCACAGAAGACCUAAAGAUUCAUAUAGUUAGAUAUAUAUAUAUAUAUAUAUAUAUAUAUAUAUAUAUAUCCCACAACGAGAGACAUUUGACACAAUAAGUGGUCUUUAAUUUUAAAAUAGUCAAAGUCAUGAAACUCAAAAAAAGGUGGAGAGAAAUGAUUGAGAUUGAGAAUACAAAAAGACACAAGAAAUAAAUGGGGUGUUUGAUUCUGAACUGGAUUCUUUUGCUACAGAAGACAUUAUUGGGACAACUGGUAAACCUUGAAUGGGGUCUGAAAUUAAAUAUCAUUAAUAAAUUACAGUUAAUGUCCUCAUUUUGAUGGUUGUAAUGUAAUCAUAGGUGUAAGUCCUCGUAUGUAAGAAUUGCAUGCUAAAGUAUUCAAGAGUGAUGGGGCAUCAUGUCAGCAAAUUACUCAGAAAGGAGAGCUUUUCCUACUAUUUCUGCAAUUAUUAAUUAAGUCAUUUCCAAAAAAAGAAAAAAAUAAAGAAAGAAAUAAUUAGUUACCUAGUCAAAAAAAAUAAGAAAAGCAGGCUGGAUUUCUAACAUAAUAUAAAAUAAGUGAUUUUUUUAAAAAAGAUUUUAGGGGUGCCUGGGUGGCUCAGUGGGUUAAAGCCUCUGCCUUUGGGUCAGGUCAUGAUCUCAGGGUUCUGGGGUCGAGACCGCAUCAGGAUCUCUGCUCAGCAGGGAGCCUGCUUCCCCCCUCUCUCUGCCUGCUGCUCUGCCUACUUGUGAUCCCUCUCUCUGUC
Molecule: long non-coding RNA, 2097 nt
Organism: Mustela lutreola (European mink)
Lineage: Eukaryota; Metazoa; Chordata; Mammalia; Carnivora; Mustelidae
Exons: 3
Source: RefSeq, a predicted model, not a curated record